Molecule: long non-coding RNA, 2088 nt
Organism: Apus apus (common swift)
Lineage: Eukaryota; Metazoa; Chordata; Aves; Apodiformes; Apodidae
Exons: 4
Source: RefSeq, a predicted model, not a curated record
AGAGAGGACAAGCUCUUCAACUCUGGACAUAUCUUUUGUUUCUAGGCACUUCCCUGGGUGUAAGGCCCCAGUGUUACACAGAAUUGCUGCUGUGAGGAAGGACUGCAUCCUGAACAAACCAGGAAACGACAGAAUAAGAUACGUAAGAUUUUCCCUUAAGAAAAUGGAAUAUCAUUGAGGAUAACUGUCUUUUUUUCCAGUCUGCCAGAAGUUCUUUUGUGAUACUGAGUAACUCACUUAAACCCCAACCUGUCCAUACACCAUUACUUUUCUUCUAACAAAAUCUUGUCUCAUCUGCUGCUACAUCCUCUUCUUCAGGAGAACAGGCCAACCACUUGGGAGUUUUGAAUUAUGUAUUCCCUAAGCAUUUAGUUUAACAUAAAGGCAAACAUUCAACUCACAGCUAAAAUCAACAAUCCUUCUUCUGUCCAGGCUCCUCAUUCAGUCUAAAGUUUUUCUCUCUCUUCAUUGGUACCAUUAAGUCUACCAGGUCAGACCAUACCCUGCGAGAAGCUGAGUUUUCUCUAGACAGGAACCCUGCUUUAUGUUACUGUUCUGAGUGUAGUCACUUGACUCAAUCACCAUCUCCAUCUCCUUUCCCCAUCCCCUUUCGUCAUCUAGGGAAAAAAAUGUGUUUGGCACAGCUGGGACUAAGCCCAAGCCCUUUCACAGCAGAAGCUGAGGGCUUUUGCAGCUUUGUUUUCCCUUUACUCCAUUUCCAGGCAAUCGGUGAGGACACUUGGGGCCCUAUUUGUGUGGUUGCCAUAGACCAAAAUGAAGCUGACUGAAACAGUGUAAAAUGGCACAACAAAUAGCACCAAACUUUAUUUGGAGCUUGUCACCAUUGUUCCUUUACCAGCCAAAUGAGAUGCUGUUGAGUGACACAGUGGACUCCACAGCCGCUACUGGGAAGUAAACACGCUGCCUCUACAUCUUCAAAGCAGGAGAACAUUCUCUUGUUAAAUAGAUUUUGCUGCCUGAUCCAUACAAGAUUUUGCAUGCCCAGCUAUCAAGGGUCCUGCUAUCAAAAGCUACACUUCAGUGACAAAGCCCUGAGGAAGGCAGCUGAGUAAGCUGUGUAUGCUGGCAUGACAUCCUCUUGGUCUCCAGUGGAAUCCAGGAGACUGAUAGAAGGCAACAAAUGACCCCUUUGCAUUGGUACAGUAGGAGCAUGACUGUAAUCAAACAUAAUUAUGGAAUCACUACCAGUCAGAGCUGUUAUAGUCUUGCCUGUAAUCAAGAACAGCAUUAUUGCAUCAUUUAUUAGUCUCACAAGUAAUUUGAGAUUUAUGGGCCCUUGGAAAGAAAAGUGUUACUUGGCAAAUCUACACAUAUUUGUUAUUUGCCCAUAAAGAGAUUUCAGAACUCUUUGAGAGAUCAGAGCAGUUCAAAUGAAGUAUGUCUUCUGGAUAAUUUCUUCAGAUUCUUCAGAGUCUUAAAUGCCAAAAAAUCCACACAUUACUUGAAGAAAUUAUUUCUGAGCUUACCAUGUGCAAACUUGGACUGGCUAGCCAGGUAGAUGUAGGCACACAUAAUUUCUCUGAUGCUGGAGAUACAGUGUAGUGACUACUGGUGGAGAUAGAACUACUACAUUAAAAUAAACAGCUGAAAUUAGUGUAAUCAUGCAGAAACUGUACUCUUUGAUGUAAUAGUUCAGUUAUUAUAAUCCCAGGAGGAAAACUCUCAAGGGGAAGACCUUCUUCUGUAGUGCCAAGUUAUGACUUUGGCUUUUCCAGCAGACAGUUUAUCUCUGUUACAUGAGAGGGAACCUUAAACAGAAAAUGUAUUUGGAAAAAGGACGAUAGGUGAGGUAACUCAUCAUAAGAAGUACAGAGAAAGGGAGGAAGAAGGGCAUUUGAUCCUGGAAGGGCAGAAGAAGCUGUAUCUCUUAAUUUUGUAAAGAAGUUUAAAAAGCAUUAUUUGUGACUUCUUAGCUCACAAGGAAAUGGAAGACAGCUCUGAAUUCUGAAGUGGAUGUGGGUGGGAAAGAAAUGGAAGAAGAAAAAACUUGUUGCCUUUAAAAUGUUACUUCAAAAGGUUUGGAAACCAAUUAAUAUAAAACCACCUCAAAGUUCCCCAAGGAAGUUG